This 497-nucleotide ribosomal RNA is filed under the name uncultured bacterium. RNAcentral's name for it is "partial 16S ribosomal RNA". It matches the Rfam family "Bacterial small subunit ribosomal RNA", at positions 28 to 507 of the family's 1533-position model. The record is from RNAcentral.
GAUGAACGCUGGCGGCGUGCCUAAUACAUGCAAGUCGAGCGAACGGACGAGAAGCUUGCUUCUCUGAUGUUAGCGGCGGACGGGUGAGUAACACGUGGAUAACCUACCUAUAAGACUGGGAUAACUUCGGGAAACCGGAGCUAAUACCGGAUGAUAUUUUGAACCGCAUGGUUCAAAAGUGAAAGACGGUCUUGCUGUCACUUAUAGAUGGAUCCGCGCUGCAUUAGCUAGUUGGUAAGGUAACGGCUUACCAAGGCAACGAUGCAUAGCCGACCUGAGAGGGUGAUCGGCAACACUGGAACUGAGACACGGUCCAGACUCCUACGGGAGGCAGCAGUAGGGAAUCUUCCGCAAUGGGCGAAAGCCUGACGGAGCAACGCCACGUGAGUGAUGAAGGUCUUCGGAUCGUAAAACUCUGUUAUUAGGGAAGAACAUAUGUGUAAGUAACUGUGCACAUCUUGACGGUACCUAAUCAGAAAGCCACGGCUAACUACGUG